RNAcentral lists this ribosomal RNA (394 nucleotides) under uncultured bacterium. RNAcentral describes it as "partial 16S ribosomal RNA". It matches the Rfam family "Bacterial small subunit ribosomal RNA", at positions 523 to 915 of the family's 1533-position model. The record is from RNAcentral.
AUACGUAGGGGGCGAGCGUUGUCCGGAAUGAUUGGGCGUAAAGGGCGCGUAGGCGGCCCGGUAAGUCUGGAGUGAAAGUCCUGUUUUUAAGAUGGGAAUUGCUUUGGAUACUGCCGCGCUUGAGUGCAGGAGAGGUUAUCGGAAUUCCCGGUGUAGCGGUGAAAUGCGUAGAGAUCGGGAGGAACACCAGUGGCGAAGGCGGGUAACUGGACUGCAACUGACGCUGAGGCGCGAAAGUGUGGGGAGCAAACAGGAUUAGAUACCCUGGUAGUCCACACUGUAAACGAUGAAUGCUAGGUGUAAGAGGUAUCGACCCCUUUUGUGCCGGAGUCAACACAAUAAGCAUUCCGCCUGGGGAGUACGGCCGCAAGGUUGAAACUCAAAGGAAUUGACG